Molecule: ribosomal RNA, 450 nt
Filed under: uncultured bacterium
Lineage: Bacteria
Description: partial 16S ribosomal RNA
Rfam family: Bacterial small subunit ribosomal RNA
Source: RNAcentral
GUGGGGAAUUUUGGACAAUGGGCGCAAGCCUGAUCCAGCAAUGCCGCGUGCAGGAAGAAGGCCUUCGGGUUGUAAACUGCUUUUGUACGGAACGAAACGGCUCUGGUUAAUACCUGGGGCUAAUGACGGUACCGUAAGAAUAAGCACCGGCUAACUACGUGCCAGCAGCCGCGGUAAUACGUAGGGUGCAAGCGUUAAUCGGAAUUGCUGGGCGUAAAGCGUGCGCAGGCGGUUUUGUAAGACAGGCGUGAAAUCCCCGGGCUCAACCUGGGAAUGGCGCUUGUGACUGCAAAGCUGGAGUGCGGCAGAGGGGGAUGGAAUUCCGCGUGUAGCAGUGAAAUGCGUAGAUAUGCGGAGGAACACCGAUGGCGAAGGCAAUCCCCUGGGCCUGCACUGACGCUCAUGCACGAAAGCGUGGGGAGCAAACAGGAUUAGAAACCCUGGUAGUCC